AGGUCAAGCUACAAAGGGCGCAGGGUGAAUGCCUUGGCACUAGGAGCCGAAGAAGGACGUGAUAAGCUGCGAUAAGCUUUGGGUAGACGCAAAUAGUCUGCGAUCCAAAGAUUUCCGAAUGGGGGAA
This 127-nucleotide ribosomal RNA is filed under the name Clostridium argentinense. RNAcentral's name for it is "partial 23S ribosomal RNA". It matches the Rfam family "Bacterial large subunit ribosomal RNA", at positions 1 to 126 of the family's 2925-position model. The record is from RNAcentral. Lineage: Bacteria; Bacillati; Bacillota; Clostridia; Eubacteriales; Clostridiaceae.